UCGGGAAUUUUGGGCAAUGGGCGAAAGCCUGACCCAGCAACGCCGCGUGAGGGAUGAAGUAUUUCGGUAUGUAAACCUCGAAAGAAUGGGAAGAAUAAAUGACGGUACCAUUUAUAAGCUCCGGCUAACUACGUGCCAGCAGCCGCGGUAAUACGUAGGGAGCAAGCGUUGUUCGGAUUUACUGGGCGUAAGGGGCGCGUAGGCGGCGCGGUAAGUCACUUGUGAAAUCUCUGAGCUUAACUCAGAACGGCCAAGUGAUACUGCUGUGCUAGAGUGCGGAAGAGGCAACCGGAAUUCUUGGUGUAGCGGUGAAAUGCGUAGAUAUCAAGAGGAACACCUGAGGCGAAGGCGGGUUGCUGGGCCGACACUGACGCUGAUGCGCGAAAGCCAGGGGAGCAAACG
RNAcentral lists this ribosomal RNA (402 nucleotides) under uncultured bacterium. Its description in RNAcentral is "bacterial SSU rRNA". It matches the Rfam family "Bacterial small subunit ribosomal RNA", at positions 355 to 774 of the family's 1533-position model. The record is from RNAcentral.